RNAcentral lists this long non-coding RNA (674 nucleotides) under Homo sapiens (human). RNAcentral describes it as "HSALNT0325390". Lineage: Eukaryota; Metazoa; Chordata; Mammalia; Primates; Hominidae. The record is from RNAcentral.
CAGAAAUGAAUACUUUCAGACUAGGUUUGAAGGACUGAGUAGGAGUAAACUAAAAGAGAAAAAGCAGGACAAAAGAAGCACCACUUUGGAAGCUCAAAGCCGCACUGGAAACACAGUCUUUCAGGAUGUCUGAAAGGGGCAAGUCUGUUUGUGUGGGGUAAGAAAUGCGGGGAGACAAACGGACAGUGGACAGAUUGCAGAGAGCUCUGUGUGCUGAGAGGAGGGUGCAGACCAGAUUUUUAAAUUGAGAAUGCAACAGUGAAGGAUUUCAAGCUUGGAGUGAGAGGGGAGACUACGAGCCUGCAGUGAUAAGGCAAAGCUGAAGAUUUCAGAGCCAAGGCCACACCCUACAGUUGCCAUGGAAUGGGGUGGCACAGUGGGCUUUGGAGUGCUUCUGCAUGAACCAGAUCUGAUCUGUGUUUCAAAUCAGCAAACAUCCCAAGAAAGAAAAUAGCCUGUGAAAGAUAUACAGGGAGUCCACGGAGCCUCCCCUGCAAGCAUCAGUACAGAAGUCGAUGAUAAUCUGGAUGCAAGCCCAGGAGUGUGGAGUCCACUGACUCAGAAGACCUGCAUCUAAGGAAUUGGCUGUUCUUAUCCUUAAGAAUGAUGACUGUGUUUCCAAUUCCAGUAGACCCUUUGAUGCGUUCUGAAUAAAUAUUCCUUUUGGAAUUGAA